RNAcentral lists this ribosomal RNA (1438 nucleotides) under uncultured organism. RNAcentral describes it as "SSU rRNA". It matches the Rfam family "Bacterial small subunit ribosomal RNA". The record is from RNAcentral.
UCGACAGGCUUAACACAUGCAAGUCGAGGGGCAGCACAGGUAGCAAUACCGGGUGGCGACCGGCGCACGGGUGAGUAACGCGUAUGCAACUUACCUAUCAGAGGGGGAUAACCCGGCGAAAGUCGGACUAAUACCGCAUGAAGCAGGGGCCCCGCAUGGGGAUAUUUGCUAAAGAUUCAUCGCUGAUAGAUAGGCAUGCGUUCCAUUAGGCAGUUGGCGGGGUAACGGCCCACCAAACCGACGAUGGAUAGGGGUUCUGAGAGGAAGGUCCCCCACAUUGGUACUGAGACACGGACCAAACUCCUACGGGAGGCAGCAGUGAGGAAUAUUGGUCAAUGGCCGAGAGGCUGAACCAGCCAAGUCGCGUGAGGGAUGAAGGUUCUAUGGAUCGUAAACCUCUUUUAUAAGGGAAUAAAGUGCGGGACGUGUCCCGUUUUGUAUGUACCUUAUGAAUAAGGAUCGGCUAACUCCGUGCCAGCAGCCGCGGUAAUACGGAGGAUCCGAGCGUUAUCCGGAUUUAUUGGGUUUAAAGGGUGCGUAGGCGGCCUUUUAAGUCAGCGGUGAAAGUCUGUGGCUCAACCAUAGAAUUGCCGUUGAAACUGGGGGGCUUGAGUAUGUUUGAGGCAGGCGGAAUGCGUGGUGUAGCGGUGAAAUGCAUAGAUAUCACGCAGAACCCCGAUUGCGAAGGCAGCCUGCCAAGCCAUGACUGACGCUGAUGCACGAAAGCGUGGGGAUCAAACAGGAUUAGAUACCCUGGUAGUCCACGCAGUAAACGAUGAUCACUAGCUGUUUGCGAUACACUGUAAGCGGCACAGCGAAAGCGUUAAGUGAUCCACCUGGGGAGUACGCCGGCAACGGUGAAACUCAAAGGAAUUGACGGGGGCCCGCACAAGCGGAGGAACAUGUGGUUUAAUUCGAUGAUACGCGAGGAACCUUACCCGGGUUUGAACGCAUUCGGACCGAGGUGGAAACACCUUUUCUAGCAAUAGCCGUUUGCGAGGUGCUGCAUGGUUGUCGUCAGCUCGUGCCGUGAGGUGUCGGCUUAAGUGCCAUAACGAGCGCAACCCUUGCCACUAGUUACUAACAGGUGAUGCUGAGGACUCUGGUGGGACUGCCAGCGUAAGCUGCGAGGAAGGCGGGGAUGACGUCAAAUCAGCACGGCCCUUACAUCCGGGGCGACACACGUGUUACAAUGGCGUGGACAAAGGGAGGCCACCUGGCGACAGGGAGCGAAUCCCCAAACCACGUCUCAGUUCGGAUCGGAGUCUGCAACCCGACUCCGUGAAGCUGGAUUCGCUAGUAAUCGCGCAUCAGCCAUGGCGCGGUGAAUACGUUCCCGGGCCUUGUACACACCGCCCGUCAAGCCAUGGGAGCCGGGGGUACCUGAAGUCCGUAACCGCGAGGAUCGGCCUAGGGUAAAACUGGUGACUGGGGCUAA